Molecule: long non-coding RNA, 200 nt
Filed under: Elaeis guineensis (African oil palm)
Lineage: Eukaryota; Viridiplantae; Streptophyta; Magnoliopsida; Arecales; Arecaceae
Description: long non-coding RNA (EGUI_LNC075376)
Source: RNAcentral
GGCAUUGAACCAGAUUUAAACACCUCAUGUUUUUUUGAAAAAGGAACAACAUCCUCUUCUCUUCACGCUUUCUGAAUGUACUUCAUCGAUACACAUUAUAUGACUUGUUGCGGCCAAUCGCCUCGUCGCCCGAUCGCCGGGAAGCGUGCACCUGCAAAAGGAAGUCCGCACUGACCGGAGACGGCUCCGGCGGGGACCCN